UGGCCGGUACAACGGGGUGCGACACGGUGACGUGGGGCGGAUCCCUGAAAAACCGGUCUCAGUUCGGAUCGCAGUCUGCAACUCGACUGCGUGAAGGUGGAGUCGCUAGUAAUCGCGGAUCAGCAACGCCGCGGUGAACGCGUUCCCGGGCCUUGUACACACCGCCCGUCAAGUCAUGAGAGUUGGCAACACCCGAAGUCGGUAGUCUAACCGCAAGGAGGACGCCGCCGAAGGUGGGGUUGAUGAUUAGGGUUAAGUCGUAACAAGGUAGC
This 272-nucleotide ribosomal RNA is filed under the name uncultured bacterium. Its description in RNAcentral is "partial 16S ribosomal RNA". It matches the Rfam family "Bacterial small subunit ribosomal RNA", at positions 1231 to 1500 of the family's 1533-position model. The record is from RNAcentral.